RNAcentral lists this transfer RNA (68 nucleotides) under Ictidomys tridecemlineatus (thirteen-lined ground squirrel). RNAcentral's name for it is "Spermophilus tridecemlineatus (thirteen-lined ground squirrel) tRNA". It matches the Rfam family "tRNA". From Rfam's summary of the family: Transfer RNA (tRNA) molecules are approximately 80 nucleotides in length. Their secondary structure includes four short double-helical elements and three loops (D, anti-codon, and T loops). Further hydrogen bonds mediate the characteristic L-shaped molecular structure. tRNAs have two regions of fundamental functional importance: the anti-codon, which is responsible for specific mRNA codon recognition, and the 3' end, to which the tRNAs corresponding amino acid is attached (by aminoacyl-tRNA synthetases). tRNAs cope with the degeneracy of the genetic code in two manners: having more than one tRNA (with a specific anti-codon) for a particular amino acid; and 'wobble' base-pairing, i.e. permitting non-standard base-pairing at the 3rd anti-codon position. The record is from Rfam by way of RNAcentral. Lineage: Eukaryota; Metazoa; Chordata; Mammalia; Rodentia; Sciuridae.
GAUAUAAUUCAGUUGGUAGAAUGCUUGCCUAGCACGCAUGAAGCUUUCUGGGUUUGAUCCCUAGUAUC